UAGGUAGGAAGUAUCGAACUGGAUCACGAGGGGUCCUAUGGCCUGCUCUCCUGAUGUUCAGUGCCCUUCACCAGGUGCUUCUGAGGACAAGAAACUCUUUGGUGAGGUGUCUCAAAGAGACAGGCACAGUACCCUGCUUAAAGGGUUGAGCUUCUAGGACUGGCCCACUGUUGAAGUGUGAUAUCCACCCAUUCAAGUGCAACAGUUCCCCGAUGUGGCUACCGUGUGAAAAUGACUGGCCAACAUCAACUCUGCAAGAGCUGUCUGGAGCAUCCAUCUUAAUCAGAAGUUAAC
This 294-nucleotide long non-coding RNA is filed under the name Apteryx owenii (little spotted kiwi). RNAcentral describes it as "lncRNA (ENSAOWG00000012796.1)". Lineage: Eukaryota; Metazoa; Chordata; Aves; Apterygiformes; Apterygidae. The record is from RNAcentral.